This 770-nucleotide ribosomal RNA is filed under the name uncultured bacterium. RNAcentral's name for it is "bacterial SSU rRNA". It matches the Rfam family "Bacterial small subunit ribosomal RNA", at positions 20 to 790 of the family's 1533-position model. The record is from RNAcentral.
UGGCUCAGAUUGAACGCUGGCGGCAGGCUUAACACAUGCAAGUCGAACGGUAACAUAAAGAAGCUUGCUUCUUUGAUGACGAGUGGCGGACGGGUGAGUAAUGCUUGGGAAUCUAGCUUAUGGAGGGGGAUAACUACGGGAAACUGUAGCUAAUACCGCGUAAUAUCGAGAGAUUAAAGUGUGGGACCUUCGGGCCACAUGCCAUAGGAUGAGCCCAAGUGGGAUUAGGUAGUUGGUGAGGUAAAGGCUCACCAAGCCGACGAUCUCUAGCUGGUCUGAGAGGAUGACCAGCCACACUGGGACUGAGACACGGCCCAGACUCCUACGGGAGGCAGCAGUGGGGAAUAUUGCGCAAUGGGGGCAACCCUGACGCAGCCAUGCCGCGUGAAUGAAGAAAGCCUUCGGGUUGUAAAGUUCUUUCGGUAGCGAGGAAGGCAUUUAGUUUAAUAGACUAAGUGAUUGACGUUAACUACAGGAGAAGCACCGGCUAACUCGUGCCAGCAGCUGCGUAAUACGGAGGGUGCGAGCGUUAAUCGGAAUAACUGGACGUACAUGGCACGCAGCGUGUACUUAAGUGAGGUUGUGAAAGCCCCGGCUACCUGGAAUUGCAUUGCAAUACUGGGUCCGCUAGAGUACUUUCCGGAGGGUAGAAUUCCCACGUGUACGGGAAUGGCUAAAAUUGUGGAGGAAUCCGUAUGCCAGCAUCCCCUGGAAAUGUACUGAGCCUCUAUGCCGAAUGCGUGGGAGCCAAUCGGAACUAGAUAUCCCUG